RNAcentral lists this ribosomal RNA (490 nucleotides) under uncultured bacterium. RNAcentral describes it as "partial 16S ribosomal RNA". It matches the Rfam family "Bacterial small subunit ribosomal RNA", at positions 29 to 505 of the family's 1533-position model. The record is from RNAcentral.
AGUGAACGCUGGCGGUAGGCCUAACACAUGCAAGUCGAACGGCAGCACAGUAAGAGCUUGCUCUUACGGGUGGCGAGUGGCGGACGGGUGAGGAAUACAUCGGAAUCUACUUUUUCGUGGGGGAUAACGUAGGGAAACUUACGCUAAUACCGCAUACGACCUACGGGUGAAAGCAGGGGAUCUUCGGACCUUGCGCGAUUGAAUGAGCCGAUGUCGGAUUAGCUAGUUGGCGGGGUAAAGGCCCACCAAGGCGACGAUCCGUAGCUGGUCUGAGAGGAUGAUCAGCCACACUGGAACUGAGACACAGUCCAGACUCCUACGGGAGGCAGCAGUGGGGAAUAUUGGACAAUGGGCGCAAGCCUGAUCCAGCCAUACCGCGUGGGUGAAGAAGGCCUUCGGGUUGUAAAGCCCUUUUGUUGGGAAAGAAAAGCAGCAGGUUAAUACCCCGCUGUUCUGACGGUACCCAAAGAAUAAGCACCGGCUAACUUCG